This 433-nucleotide ribosomal RNA is filed under the name uncultured bacterium. Its description in RNAcentral is "partial 16S ribosomal RNA". It matches the Rfam family "Bacterial small subunit ribosomal RNA", at positions 29 to 507 of the family's 1533-position model. The record is from RNAcentral.
AGCGAACGCUGGCGGCAGGCUUAACACAUGCAAGUCCAGCGGGCCCUUCGGGGUCAGCGGCAGACGGGUGAGUAACACGUGGGAACGUACCCUUUGGUUCGGAAUAACGCUGGGAAACUAGCGCUAAUACCGGAUACGCCCUUUUGGGGAAAGGCUUGCUGCCGAAGGAUCGGCCCGCGUCUGAUUAGCUAGUUGGUGGGGUAAUGGCCUACCAAGGCGACGAUCAGUAGCUGGUCUGAGAGGAUGAUCAGCCACACUGGGACUGAGACACGGCCCAGACUCCUACGGGAGGCAGCAGUGGGGAAUAUUGGACAAUGGGCGCAAGCCUGAUCCAGCCAUGCCGCGUGAGUGAUGAAGGCCUUAGGGUUGUAAAGCUCUUUUGUCCGGGACGAUAAUGACGGUACCGGAAGAAUAAGCCCCGGCUAACUUCGUG